Molecule: ribosomal RNA, 448 nt
Filed under: Isochrysis galbana
Lineage: Eukaryota; Haptophyta; Isochrysidales; Isochrysidaceae
Description: partial Bacterial small subunit ribosomal RNA
Rfam family: Bacterial small subunit ribosomal RNA
Source: RNAcentral
GGCGACGAUCUAUAGCUGGUCUGAGAGGAUGAUCAGCCACACUGGGACUGAGACACGGCCCAGACUCCUACGGGAGGCAGCAGUGGGGAAUCUUGCACAAUGGGCGAAAGCCUGAUGCAGCCAUGCCGCGUGUGUGAUGAAGGCCUUAGGGUUGUAAAACACUUUCAGAGGGGAAGAUAAUGACGGUACCCUCAGAAGAAGCUCCGGCUAACUCCGUGCCAGCAGCCGCGGUAAUACGGAGGGGGCUAGCGUUGUUCGGAAUUACUGGGCGUAAAGCGCGCGUAGGCGGAUUGAUUAGUCAGAGGUGAAAUCCCAGGGCUCAACCCUGGAACUGCCUUUGAUACUGUCAGUCUAGAGACCGAGAGAGGUGAGUGGAAUUUCCAGUGUAGAGGUGAAAUUCGUAGAUAUUGGGAAGAACACCAGUGGCGAAGGCGGCCACCUGGCUCGG